RNAcentral lists this small nucleolar RNA (72 nucleotides) under Neogobius melanostomus (round goby). Its description in RNAcentral is "Small nucleolar RNA SNORD59 (ENSNMLG00000016756.1)". It matches the Rfam family "Small nucleolar RNA SNORD59". Rfam says of the family: U59 belongs to the C/D class of snoRNA which contain the C (UGAUGA) and D (CUGA) box motifs. Most of the members of the box C/D family function in directing site-specific 2'-O-methylation of substrate RNAs. The record is from Rfam by way of RNAcentral. Lineage: Eukaryota; Metazoa; Chordata; Actinopteri; Gobiiformes; Gobiidae.
UCUUCUGUGAUGAUUUUCAGUGACUUUCGUUCUUCUGAGUAUACUGAAGCCACCAUUACUGUCCUGAGAAGA